RNAcentral lists this ribosomal RNA (885 nucleotides) under uncultured eukaryote. Its description in RNAcentral is "SSU rRNA". It matches the Rfam family "Eukaryotic small subunit ribosomal RNA", at positions 566 to 1472 of the family's 1831-position model. The record is from RNAcentral.
CCAAGCAGCCGCGGUAAUUCCAGCUCCAAUAGCGUAUAUUAAAGUUGUUGCGGUUAAAAAGCUCGUAGUUGGAUCUCGGCGGGCAGGGGGUGGUUCGCUCUUCAGCGCUACUGCCCCGCUUUGCCCGUGUGAUUGGCGGAGGUUUCGGGGUGCUCUUCGUUGAGUGACUCGGAGCGCCGUCAGGUUUACUUUGAAAAAAUUAGAGUGCUCAAAGCAGGCUUUUCACGCUUGAAUAUUCGUGCAUGGAAUAAUGGGAUAGGAACUCGUUUCUAUUUUGUUGGUUUUCGGAAAUCGAGUUAAUGAUUAACAGGGACAAUUGGGGGCAUUAGUAUUCAGACGACAGAGGUGAAAUUCUUGGACCGUCUGAAGACUGACUACUGCGAAAGCAUUUGCCAAGAGUGUUUUCAUUAAUCAAGAACGAAAGUUAGAGGUUCGAAGGCGAUCAGAUACCGCCCUAGUUCUAACCAUAAACGAUGCCAGCUAGCGAUCUGCCGAGUUUUUUUUGUAGGCUCCGCAGGAAGCUUUCGGGAAACCAAAGCUUUUGGGUUCCGGGGGAAGUAUGGUUGCAAAGCUGAAACUUAAAGGAAUUGACGGAAGGGCACCACCAGGAGUGGAGCCUGCGGCUUAAUUUGACUCAACACGGGAAAUCUCACCAGGCCCGGACACUGGAAGGAUUGACAGAUUGAGAGCUCUUUCUCGAUUCGGUGGGUGGUGGUGCAUGGCCGUUCUUAGUUGGUGGAGUGAUUUGUCUGGUUAAUUCCGAUAACGAACGAGACUCUGUCCUGCUAAAUAGUUGGGUCGUCCUUCGUGCGAUCCAAGUUCUUCUUAGAGGGACUGGCUGCGUCUAGCAGCACGAGAUUGAGCAAUAACAGGUCUGUGAUGCCC